UACGUAGGGCGCGAGCGUUGUCCGGAUUUAUUGGGCGUAAAGAGCUCGUAGGCGGCUUGUCGCGUCGACUGUGAAAUCCCGCGGCUCAACUGCGGGUCUGCAGUCGAUACGGGCAGGCUAGAGUUCGGUAGGGGAGACUGGAAUUCCUGGUGUAGCGGUGAAAUGCGCAGAUAUCAGGAGGAACACCGGUGGCGAAGGCGGUUCUCUGGGCAUUACCUGACGCUGAGGAGCGAAAGUGUGGGGAGCGAACAGG
Molecule: ribosomal RNA, 253 nt
Filed under: uncultured bacterium
Lineage: Bacteria
Description: partial 16S ribosomal RNA
Rfam family: Bacterial small subunit ribosomal RNA
Source: RNAcentral